UGAGCGAUCUGCCCUUCUCUUCGGAAUAAGCGUUGGAAACGACGUCUAAUGCCGAAUACGACCUCCUUUCGCAUGAUCGGAGGUGGAAAGCUCCGGCGGAGAAGGAUGAGCUCGCGGCCUAUCAGCUAGUUGGUGUGGGUAAUGGCCCACCAAGGCGACGACGGGUAGCCGGCCUGAGAGGGUGACGGCCACACUGGGACUGAGACACGGCCCAGACUCCUACGGGA
This 227-nucleotide ribosomal RNA is filed under the name uncultured bacterium. RNAcentral describes it as "partial 16S ribosomal RNA". It matches the Rfam family "Bacterial small subunit ribosomal RNA", at positions 118 to 346 of the family's 1533-position model. The record is from RNAcentral.